CCCUUUGAUGUCCUGGGCCGCACGCGCGUUACACUGAUGCAUUCAACGAGCUUAUAACCUUGGCCGAGAGGCCUGGGCAAUCUUGUUAACGUGCAUCGUGAUAGGGAUAGAUUAUUGAAAUUAUUAAUCUUGAACGAGGAAUUCCUAGUAAACGCAGAUCAUCAAUCUGCAUUGAUUACGUCCCUGCCCUUUGUACACACCGCCCGUCGCACCUACCGAUUGGAUGGUCCGGUGAAGCCUCGGGAUUGUGGUUCUUGCCGCUUUAUUGUGGCGUGACCGCGAGAACUUGUCUAAACCUUAUCAUCUAGAGGAAGGUGAAGUCGUAACA
RNAcentral lists this ribosomal RNA (328 nucleotides) under uncultured eukaryote. RNAcentral describes it as "partial 18S ribosomal RNA". It matches the Rfam family "Eukaryotic small subunit ribosomal RNA", at positions 1470 to 1796 of the family's 1831-position model. The record is from RNAcentral.